RNAcentral lists this ribosomal RNA (402 nucleotides) under Bacteroidota bacterium. RNAcentral describes it as "Bacteroidetes bacterium partial 16S ribosomal RNA". It matches the Rfam family "Bacterial small subunit ribosomal RNA", at positions 355 to 776 of the family's 1533-position model. Lineage: Bacteria; Pseudomonadati; Bacteroidota. The record is from RNAcentral.
UGGGGAAUUUUGCACAAUGGGGGAAACCCUGAUGCAGCGACGCCGCGUGAUUUAGAAGGCCUUCGGGUUGUCAAAAUCUUUUCUAUGGGAAGAAAAUGACAGUACCAUAGGAAUAAGGACCGGCUAAUUACGUGCCAGCAGCCGCGGUAAUACGUAAGGUCCGAGCGUUGUCCGGAAUCAUUGGGCGUAAAGGGUACGUAGGCGGGUAAGCAAGUUAGAAGUGAAAUCCUGUAGCUCAACUACAGUAAGCUUUUAAAACUGCUCAUCUUGAGAUAUGGAAGGGAAAGUGGAAUUCCUAGUGUAGCGGUGAAAUGCGCAGAUAUUAGGAGGAAUACCGGUGGCGAAGGCGACUUUCUGGCCAUAAUCUGACGCUGAGGUACGAAAGCGUGGGUAGCAAACAGG